Molecule: long non-coding RNA, 152 nt
Organism: Trachemys scripta elegans
Lineage: Eukaryota; Metazoa; Chordata; Testudines; Emydidae
Exons: 3
Source: RefSeq, a predicted model, not a curated record
CUUGACCUCAUCAGCUGUUGGCUACUGAAGCAGUCACAUCAGGAAACAAAGUUUUCAGCAGCAUGGCCAGUGCAAGGCACCUCCUGGGUGCCUGGGAUACAGCAAUCCUGCCCCUUCCCCGAGCCCACAAACACACAGGGAUCUAGAGCAGU